UACGGAGGGGGCUAGCGUUGUUCGGAAUUACUGGGCGUAAAGCGCACGUAGGCGGCUUUGUAAGUUAGAGGUGAAAGCCCAGGGCUUAACCCUGGAAUUGCCUUUAAGACUGCAUCGCUAGAAUCGUGGAGAGGUAAGUGGAAUUCCGAGUGUAGAGGUGAAAUUCGUAGAUAUUCGGAAGGAACACCAGUGGCGAAGGCGACUUACUGGACACGUAUUGACGCUGAGGUGCGAAAGCGUGGGGAGCAAACAGG
Molecule: ribosomal RNA, 254 nt
Filed under: uncultured bacterium
Lineage: Bacteria
Description: partial 16S ribosomal RNA
Rfam family: Bacterial small subunit ribosomal RNA
Source: RNAcentral